This 117-nucleotide ribosomal RNA is filed under the name Nocardioides sp. Root190. Lineage: Bacteria; Bacillati; Actinomycetota; Actinomycetes; Propionibacteriales; Nocardioidaceae. The record is from RNAcentral.
UACGGCUGCCAUAGCGGCAGGGAAACACCCGGUCCCAUCCCGAACCCGGAAGUUAAGCCUGCCAGCGCCGAUGGUACUGCAACCGAGAGGAUGUGGGAGAGUAGGACGCAGCCGGAC